This 435-nucleotide ribosomal RNA is filed under the name uncultured Nitrosomonas sp. Its description in RNAcentral is "bacterial SSU rRNA". It matches the Rfam family "Bacterial small subunit ribosomal RNA", at positions 182 to 580 of the family's 1533-position model. The record is from RNAcentral. Lineage: Bacteria; Pseudomonadati; Pseudomonadota; Betaproteobacteria; Nitrosomonadales; Nitrosomonadaceae.
CCCGCCGCGCGGCGGGCGGGGCGGGGGCACGGGGGGAGGAAAGUAGGGGAUCGCAAGACCUUGCGCUAAAGGAGCGGCCGAUGUCUGAUUAGCUAGUUGGUGGGGUAAAGGCUUACCAAGGCAACGAUCAGUAGUUGGUCUGAGAGGACGGCCAACCACACUGGGACUGAGACACGGCCCAGACUCCUACGGGAGGCAGCAGUGGGGAAUUUUGGACAAUGGGCGAAAGCCUGAUCCAGCCAUGCCGCGUGAGUGAAGAAGGCCUUCGGGUUGUAAAGCUCUUUUAGUCGGAAAGAAAGAGUUGCAAUGAAUAAUUGUGAUUUAUGACGGUACCGACAGAAAAAGCACCGGCUAACUACGUGCCAGCAGCCGCGGUAAUACGUAGGGUGCGAGCGNNNAUCGGAAUUACUGGGCGUAAAGGGUGCGCAGGCGGUC